AGUGAACGCUGGCGGUAGGCCUAACAUAUGCAAGUCGAACGGCAGCACAGAGGAGCUUGCUCCUUGGGUGGCGAGUGGCGGACGGGUGAGGAAUACAUCGGAAUCUACUCUGUCGUGGGGGAUAACGUAGGGAAACUUACGCCAAUACCGCAUACGACCUACGGGGGAAAGCAGGGGCCCUUCGGGCCUUGCGCGAUGGAAUGAGCCGAUGUCGGAUUAGCUAGUUGGCGGGGUAAAGGCCCACCAAGGCGACGAUCCGUAGCUGGUCUGAGAGGAUGAUCAGCCACACUGGAACCGAGACACGGUCCAGACUCCUACGGGAGGCAGCAGUGGGGAAUAUUGGACAAUGGGCGCAAGCCUGAUCCAGCCAUACCGCGUGGGUGAAGAAGGCCUUCGGGUUGUAAAGCCCUUUUGUUGGGAAAGAAAUCCAGCUGGCUAAUACCCGGUUGGGAUGACGGUACCCAAAGAAUAAGCACCGGCUAACUUCGUGCCAGCCGCCGCAGUAA
This 506-nucleotide ribosomal RNA is filed under the name uncultured bacterium. Its description in RNAcentral is "partial 16S ribosomal RNA". It matches the Rfam family "Bacterial small subunit ribosomal RNA", at positions 29 to 523 of the family's 1533-position model. The record is from RNAcentral.